RNAcentral lists this ribosomal RNA (405 nucleotides) under uncultured Bdellovibrio sp. RNAcentral's name for it is "bacterial SSU rRNA". It matches the Rfam family "Bacterial small subunit ribosomal RNA", at positions 355 to 774 of the family's 1533-position model. The record is from RNAcentral. Lineage: Bacteria; Pseudomonadati; Bdellovibrionota; Bdellovibrionia; Bdellovibrionales; Pseudobdellovibrionaceae.
UAGGGAAUAUUGCACAAUGGGCGAAAGCCUGAUGCAGCGACGCCGCGUGAGUGAUGAAGGCCUUCGGGUCGUAAAGCUCUGUCGCAAGGGAAUAAUAAACUGAAUGUACCUUGCAAGAAAGGAUCGGCUAACUUCGUGCCAGCAGCCGCGGUAAGACGAGGGAUCCUAGCGUUGUUCGGAAUUAUUGGGCGUAAAGCGGGUGUAGGUGGCCAUGUAAGUCAGAUGUGAAAGCCCAGGGCUUAACCCUGGAAGUGCAUUUGAUACUGCGUGGCUUGAGUGUGGGAGAGGAUAGUAGAAUUCCUGGUGUAGUGGUGAAAUACGUAGAUAUCAGGAGGAAUACCGGAGGCGAAGGCGGCUAUCUGGCCUAACACUGACACUCAGACCCGAAAGCGUGGGGAUCAAACA